AACGCGAAGAACCUUACCAGGACUUGACAUACCUUUGAUCGGUCAAGAGAUUGACCUUCCCUUCGGGGCAAAGGAUACAGGUGGUGCAUGGUUGUCGUCAGCUCGUGUCGUGAGAUGUUGGGUUAAGUCCCGCAACGAGCGCAACCCCUGUUGUUAGUUGCCAUCAUUAAGUUGGGCACUCUAGCGAGACUGCCGGUGACAAAUCGGAGGAAGGUGGGGACGACGUCAAAUCAUCAUGCCCCUUAUGUCCUGGGCUACACACGUACUACAAUGGCUAUUACAGCAGGAUGCAAUAGAGUAAUCUGGAGCCAAUCCUCAAAAAUAGUCCCAGUUCAGAUUGUGGGCUGAAACUCGCCCACAUGAAGUCGGAAUUGCUAGUAAUUGCAGGUCAGCAUACUGCAGUGAAUACGUUCCCGGGCCUUGUACACACCGCGUGUCU
RNAcentral lists this ribosomal RNA (439 nucleotides) under uncultured bacterium. RNAcentral's name for it is "bacterial SSU rRNA". It matches the Rfam family "Bacterial small subunit ribosomal RNA", at positions 958 to 1399 of the family's 1533-position model. The record is from RNAcentral.